RNAcentral lists this ribosomal RNA (629 nucleotides) under Salmonella enterica subsp. enterica serovar Thompson. Its description in RNAcentral is "partial 23S ribosomal RNA". It matches the Rfam family "Bacterial large subunit ribosomal RNA", at positions 711 to 1336 of the family's 2925-position model. The record is from RNAcentral. Lineage: Bacteria; Pseudomonadati; Pseudomonadota; Gammaproteobacteria; Enterobacterales; Enterobacteriaceae.
AGACCCGAAACCCGGUGAUCUAGCCAUGGGCAGGUUGAAGGUUGGGUAACACUAACUGGAGGACCGAACCGACUAAUGUUGAAAAAUUAGCGGAUGACCUGUGGCUGGGGGUGAAAGGCCAAUCAAACCGGGAGAUAGCUGGUUCUCCCCGAAAGCUAUUUAGGUAGCGCCUCGUGAAUUCAUCUCCGGGGGUAGAGCACUGUUUCGGCUAGGGGGCCAUCCCGGCUUACCAACCCGAUGCAAACUGCGAAUACCGGAGAAUGUUAUCACGGGAGACACACGGCGGGUGCUAACGUCCGUCGUGAAGAGGGAAACAACCCAGACCGCCAGCUAAGGUCCCAAAGUCAUGGUUAAGUGGGAAACGAUGUGGGAAGGCCCAGACAGCCAGGAUGUUGGCUUAGAAGCAGCCAUCAUUUAAAGAAAGCGUAAUAGCUCACUGGUCGAGUCGGCCUGCGCGGAAGAUGUAACGGGGCUAAACCAUGCACCGAAGCUGCGGCAGCGACACUCAGGUGUUGUUGGGUAGGGGAGCGUUCUGUAAGCCUGUGAAGGUGGCCUGUGAGGGUUGCUGGAGGUAUCAGAAGUGCGAAUGCUGACAUAAGUAACGAUAAAGCGGGUGAAAAGCCCGCUCG